AUUGCAGAGGCAAAGCAGGGGAUGAAGAGGAGAGACAUUUUCUCUGGGUGCAGAAGUGGAUCAGUGAAGUCAUCACACAUAUGGACAGCUGACUGAAUCAAGUGCAGGAAGAAUUAAACAGCCAACACAUACAAAAAGCUUCAGGAAGAGAGAGGUGCUUUAGAUCCAACGCCAACCAUCACCGACAGAAAAGGGUUUGAUCCAAUGAUUGAUGAGGGCCUUAAUGGAGCACUAUGGAGACGAAAAGCCAGAAAGGAAAUGCCUUCCAUCCCACAACCACUUAUUAGUAACGGGUUUCGGACAAAGCGGCCCCCAAACAUCGUAGUGGCAAUGGUGCUCAUGCACGCAAGCCCUUUGAAACGUCUAUGUAGGUGCAUGUGUUUUGGUCCAUGCACAGUGUGCGUGCAGCAUUAACGUUGCAAAGUGUGCACAUUUAUGUGAGAGUAUAUGCAUUAAUGUGUAUGUGAGGCUAUCAAACUGGCUUGCACUAACCCCCUAAUGGGAUCAUAUUCGAUAAGAAACACCACUCAGCCAGACAAAAAUGCAAACACAUCCUCUUGAUGUUUCUAUUCCAAGAUGGCCUGCUUUCUUGGAAAGCUAAAUGGAGCAUUAGCAGAUGGUCUCUGGAUUCUGGUGGAGUUUUUUUCCCAUAGUGGGAAGCAGUUAUUUAUUUUCAG
Molecule: long non-coding RNA, 677 nt
Organism: Oreochromis niloticus (Nile tilapia)
Lineage: Eukaryota; Metazoa; Chordata; Actinopteri; Cichliformes; Cichlidae
Exons: 3
Source: RefSeq, a predicted model, not a curated record